AUGGCCCUCGGCCACGAGCUCGUCCACCAUGGUUACUCGCAGUCAUCAAAGUGGAGCACGAACAUCAGUCCAAGUAGAAUUGAAGCCACCAUCUUCACCAUUUUCUUAUCAUUCUCACAUUAUUUUCUUGGUGAAUUAGCAAUUACUGCUAUUGUAGAAAGGAGCUUGUUGGUGUUUCUGUUUCUUUUUGAUCUAGAGUGGAAGCUUAUAUAUGUUGGAUCAGCUGAAGAUGAGAACUAUUAUCAGCAACUUGAGAGUGUGCUUGUUGGCCCUAUGAAUGUUGGGACAUACCGUUUUGUUCUGGAGGUACUUGAAAGGUGCAGACUUGGCAGCGAUGUGGUUCAUUCAACAACAGCGCAAUGA
This 363-nucleotide ribosomal RNA is filed under the name Triticum aestivum (bread wheat). RNAcentral describes it as "partial small subunit ribosomal RNA". The record is from RNAcentral. Lineage: Eukaryota; Viridiplantae; Streptophyta; Magnoliopsida; Poales; Poaceae.